RNAcentral lists this ribosomal RNA (302 nucleotides) under uncultured archaeon. Its description in RNAcentral is "bacterial SSU rRNA". It matches the Rfam family "Archaeal small subunit ribosomal RNA", at positions 433 to 735 of the family's 1478-position model. The record is from RNAcentral.
GAAUAAGUGGUGGGCAAGACGGUUGCCAGCCGCCGCGGUAAUAACCGCGCCACGAGUCGUAGUCACGAUUAUUGGGUCUAAAGCAUCCGUAGCUGGUUCAGCAAGUCCUCGGUGAAAUCCGACAGCAAACUGUCGGGCGUGCCGAGGAUACUACUAGACUAGAGACUGGGAGAGGUCUGGAGUACUUCGGAGGUAGGGGUAAAAUCCUUUAAUCUCCGAGGGACUACCUGUGGCGAAGGCGCCAGACUAGAACAGAUUUGACAGUGAGGGAUGAAAGCUAGGGGAGCGAUCGGGAUUAGAUA